GUUGCUUUGGCAGAAUAGUGUAAUAGAUUUAGGAUCUUUUUAUGUAGUGGGGAAUUACAAGUAACA
This 66-nucleotide transfer RNA is filed under the name Xyleborus sp. BMNH 1040067. RNAcentral describes it as "tRNA-Leu". The record is from RNAcentral. Lineage: Eukaryota; Metazoa; Arthropoda; Insecta; Coleoptera; Curculionidae.